UGAGAGGGUGUCCGGCCACACUGGGAUUGAGAUACGGCCCAGACUCCUUCGGGAGGCAGCAGUCGAGAAUCUUCCCCAAUGGGCGAAAGCCUGAGGGAGCGACGCCGCGUGAGGGAUGAAGGCCCUUUGGGUUGUAAACCUCUGUUAGGGGGAAAGAACAGCAGUGGGAGCAAUAUGUCCAUUGCCUGACGUUACCCCCAGAGAAAGCUCCGGCCAACUCCGUGCCAGCAGCCGCGGUAAUACGGGGGGAGCAAGCGUUGUCCGGAAUCAUUGGGCGUAAAGGGCGUGUAGGCGGUUUGGCAAGUCGAAUGUGAAAUCCCACGGCUCAACCGUGGAACUGCGUUCGAAACUGCCUUACUUGAGUGCGGGAGAGGUGUGCGGAAUUCCUGGUGUAGCGGUGGAAUGCGUAGAUAUCAGGAAGAACACCGGUGGCGAAGGCGGCACACUGGCCCAGCACUGACGCUGAGGCGCGAAAGCGUGGGGAGCGAACGGGAUUAGAUACCCCGGUAGUCCACGCUGUAAACUUUGGGCACUAGGUAUUGGAGGUCUCAACCCCUUCAGUGCCGUAGCUAACGCG
RNAcentral lists this ribosomal RNA (577 nucleotides) under uncultured bacterium. RNAcentral's name for it is "bacterial SSU rRNA". It matches the Rfam family "Bacterial small subunit ribosomal RNA", at positions 293 to 859 of the family's 1533-position model. The record is from RNAcentral.